GAUGAAGAACGUAGCGAAAUGCGAUAAGUAAUGCGAAUUGCAGAAUUUCCGUGAGUCAUCGAAUCUUUGAACGCACAUUGCGCCCACUGGUAUUCCGGUGGGCAUGCCUGUUCGAGCGUCAUUAUCCUCCCUCAAACCUCGGGUUUGGUGUUGGACCCAAGUUGUGUGAACAACUGGUCUUAAAGACAAUGACGGCGUCCGUGGGACCCUCGGUGCAACGAGCUUUUAGGAGCACGCGUCGAGUUUCAAGGACCUUCCGGGCCGGUCUCCUUUACCAUUUUACAAGGUUGACCUCGGAUCAGGUAGGGAUACCCGCUGAACUUAAGCAUAUCAAUAAGCGGAGGA
This 345-nucleotide unclassified non-coding RNA is filed under the name soil metagenome. RNAcentral describes it as "partial contains 5.8S ribosomal RNA, internal transcribed spacer 2, and large subunit ribosomal RNA". The stretch from base 1 to 121 matches the Rfam family "5.8S ribosomal RNA", at positions 35 to 154 of the family's 154-position model. The record is from RNAcentral.